This 443-nucleotide ribosomal RNA is filed under the name uncultured bacterium. RNAcentral describes it as "partial 16S ribosomal RNA". It matches the Rfam family "Bacterial small subunit ribosomal RNA", at positions 338 to 795 of the family's 1533-position model. The record is from RNAcentral.
CCUACGGGAGGCAGCAGUGGGGAAUAUUGGGCAAUGGGCGCACGCCUGACCCAGCAACGCCGCGUGAAGGAUGAAGGCCCUCGGGUUGUAAACUUCUUUUAUUCAAGACGUAACAAAUGACGGGACCGAAUGAAUAAGCCAACGCUAACUCAGUGCCAGCGGCCGCGGUAAUACGUGGGUGGCAAGCGUUAUCCGGAUUUACUGGGUGUAAAGGCCGUUUAGGCGGGAGAGUAAGUCAGACGUGAAAUUCCAGGGCUCAACCCUGGAAUUGCGUUUGAAACUGGUCUUCUUGAGUGAUGGAGAGGCAGGCGGAAUUCGGGGUGUAGCGGUGAAAUGCGUAGAUAUACGGAGGAACACCAGUGGCGAAGGCGGCCUGCUGGACAUUAACUGACGCUGAGGCGCGAAAGCGUGGGGAGCAAACAGGAUUAGAUACCCUUGUAGUC